AUGUGGUCUGCCACGCCGCCCGUGCCAAUUCCUUCGCCGCCUGCACUGCUGCGCGAUGCGCGCGCGCUCCUCCUCCCGCUCCCGGCGCUCUUCCUCUUCCUCCCGUGCCCAGCGGGCACAACGCGCCUCCUCCUUGCGCUCGGCCUGCAUUUGGCGCUUGUCGUCGGCGCGCUCCUCCGCCCGUCAGCGCUGCUGCCAGUGCUCCGGCUUUAUUUCAAGGAGCGGGGUGUCAUUCCCCAUUUCCAUUCCGAUAAGGCAGAGGGGAGAGGUCGAGCGGCGGAGGAGGGGGAGGCGAUUCCUUGUGUUCAUGGUGAUUUCGAGCUCAUCCACGGCAGGAUACUGACUUCUUCCUCUUGUUUCUCGUCGUCCGCGGCUGCUCUGGUUGGUUGUCCCCUCUCUCUUGCGCUUUUUGCCCGUGGUUUUCGUGCCCUUGUAGUUUCAGAUCUAGGUGAUUUCGCGGAUCCGCGGGCUGCGCAUGUUGCUGUCGCGGUGUCGCCUUUGGGGUGUGCGCGUGAAUUUCUGGUAGGAGCCUGCAGUGCGCCACGGGCAGGUUUCGCCGUGAUCCCGUGUGUUGUUGUUGUGGUCGCACACGAAAUCCCUCCCCCCUGCGGUUUUUUGGUUCUCGUUGUUGAUGUUGUUUUCUCCAUAAUAGGAGUGUAUGUAAGAUCAAGGGUCUGCAGUGUUGUAUGCCCGAUGAAUUUUUGUAAUGAUUCUUCUGGUGAUGAUGAAGAGCUUGGCAAAGCACUUUACAAUUUCUAUGUGAAAAAUAAGGUCAAGCACCUGAAGAGGAAAUUGUCUUCUGUUAGUAGAAGGAAUGUUAGGCAGAAACGAUCUUCUGAUUACCCUGUUUGUUCGACGUUCACUCGAUAUUCUGGAAAGUUCUUCUCAGGAGUUGUUGAUGGCAUGUGUUCUAGGUACAAGGAUUCAGAAUUGAAAAGGAAAUUCAUACCCUUAACUAAGUAUGAUAUCCAUGACAUCCUUGACCUCCCAGUAGAUGGUGAGCCACUUGUUUCAGAUCCUGAGGCUGGUCGUGAUUUUAUCCUCUCUCAUUUCAAUCUUACCAGUAUCCCACCAGUGUCCUUUUUUGCCAACAAGCUUAAAUCUGUAGAAGUUGAUUUGCUUGAUGAGGACGUCUUCAUUUUUUUCAUGAUUGUGGCUUUCUCUACUUUCCUUUGUCCCAACUCUAGCCUCAGUCCUAGUCCGAAGUACCUCCACAUCUUUCAGGAUUGUCAGUCUGUGCGUUCCUAUGAUCUUUCUAGUUUUGUUUACGAGUGGCUUUUGAGUAGCAUCAAAAAAUUCAAGGAUGCUACUAAAGUUGCCUCCAAAAGAUCAGUGACCUUCGGUGGAUGCCAUUAUGCAUUUGCCGUAGCUUACCUUGAUCAUUUGAACUUUGGGCUUCAGUCUGUACCUGAUGUGAAACCUCGUUCUGUUGAAAAAUCCUCGGGCAGUAAGAGUUUUGAUAUUGGCCCUUCUGAUGGUUCUUUUGCAAUGAAAACUGCUCUUGAAGUCAUUGAGCUUGUUCAGACUAGAAACCAAGACAAACCUAAGAUAUUCAUUAAUUGGGCAGAGUCUCUUGUUUUAAAUGUUCUGGAAUGUAACAAGUCUGUCUCAUUUCAUUCUGCUAUCGCCAAUGGUGUUUUUGCUAAAUCUGAUGGUAUUCCAGAGGUUGCUAUAUCUGAUGCUAUUCCGGAGGUUGCUAAAACUGAUGUUGCCCCAGAGGUUCCUACGUCUGAUGGUAUUCCAGAGGUUGCUACAUCUGAUGGUAUUCCAGAGGUUGUUGUACAGCAAGAGAGUCGUCCUGCGGUCACUCCAGAUGUUGUUACUCCCAUUGUCCCUCCUGCUGUUAUCUUUGGUGGUUUACAUAAUCCAGUUGUUCUAUCUAGCUCUUCAACACCAGCUAAAGCUGUUGCAAAAGAAGGUAUUUCUCCUUCAAAGUCUAAAUGUGAUAUCACUGAUGUCGAUUCUUUCGUGUUGCUUUCAGAUGGCCCUGCUAAGGAUUGUAAUGAGAAAGAUGUUGUUAAUGCUUUUGGGAUUCCUUCUUUUGCUGAGCUUAAUCGUGCUCUUGGUAUUCAGUCUCCUUCUAAUGUCUGCAAUUACACCCCAGUUCAUGCUCAUGGAAAAUCUCCUAUGGAAGAUACAAAUUCUUUUAGAGACCUGUCACCCCUUGUUCCAAUUCGCUUGUCGCAGUAUUUCCGUAAUGAGUUGGGUGAUGUCCAGUGUUCUCAGUAUGUUGCCGACAGAUAUCUGAAGUCGUUUAAUUCACCUAAUGACGAGGAUUGUAUUGUUAUGGUUAAUGUCGAUCACUCUGAUAAUUCAAAGCCAACCAAUCAUGUGAACUUAUGUUCUCCUGAUGUAAUCUUGAAAACUACUCCAAAAGCUAUUGCGAAGCUCAAUGAGGCAGUAGUUGAUGUCCAUAAAGUUGGUAGCUCAAACUUUGCAGCUAGGUGUCAAGAGCUAUCUAGAUCAAAUGAUGUUACUUACAACAAGCUGCACAGUUUUGCUGCCCCUGCAACAAGUUAUCGUAAUCCUGUAAAGGUUCCUAAUAGCCCAGAAUUAGAGAUCCUGUCAGACACGCUUGUUGUUUCUAGUGCUCAUCUUUCUAAGGUUCCUGCAUGUUCUAAAGGUGCUGCAUCAUUUCAGCCCCUUGGUGGUUCUACAACUAGUUCUUCUGCAGCUCAUGUCCCUCAUAGAAUGUUGUCCCUGAUUGCAAGUCAUCCAGAGUGGUGCAAGUACGAGGAAACAAUUCUGGAUGGUACCAAUGCUGAGAUUGUUGGUAAUGCUUUCAAUGGUGCUAAUAGCGCUUUUCCUAUGUGGAGAAGCAACAUGCUGUACUUCCCUAUUUGUAGGUUCAGUCAUUGGUUUUCUUUUGUGGUUUGCUUGAAGGAGAAACUGUUUGUCUUCCUCGAUUCAUUAUAUGGCGAGUUCUCAGAUUUCCACCUAGCCAUUCGUGAUCCGAUUGUUAACAACUUCACCAAUCUAUGGGACACAUAUGUGACUCCUAUAUUGAGGAAGCGUAUUGACUUUGAAAAUUUCGACAUUGUGUAUCCUGCGGUCCCUCAGCAAAAUAACACGUAUGAUUGUGGUGUUUUCUCUAUUAUGUACAUGAAGCACUGGACUCCUAGGACUCCAAUUGGCAAUCUUUUUACGCAAGCUGAUAUAGAUAACAUCAGGAUCAAGCUCAUAAAUGAACUUUAUUUCAGCUAA
This 3204-nucleotide ribosomal RNA is filed under the name Triticum aestivum (bread wheat). RNAcentral's name for it is "partial small subunit ribosomal RNA". The record is from RNAcentral. Lineage: Eukaryota; Viridiplantae; Streptophyta; Magnoliopsida; Poales; Poaceae.